GGGCGAGCUCGCGGCUUCGGCGCCGAGUGCCGGAGGGGCGGAGCCGCCGCGGGGCCAAUGGCAGGGCGCGGGGGCCUGGGCCUGGGUGGCGCAGCCAAUCACCGCCGGAGGCCGCACUCACCGCUCCCGCGCCGGCCCUUAACCCUUGGCGCGCGGGGACCCUGCAGGGCAGGCGCAGGGGGGAGUUGUUGCUUUGGGGCGCAGGGUCCGGACCUUGCCGAGACCGGCGUUGGGAGCUAGCAGAAGCGGGAAGAGGUUCGAUUGUGUCCGGUGCGGGGCGCCGGGAGCCUCGGCGACCUUUGUCUCCUGCCUGGCUCCUGCACUGGAGUGUGACCCGGGGCGCUGCAGCUGCGUGUGUGUGUAUGUGUGUGCGCGCGCGUGUGUGUAAGAGGGAGGAGAAGAGGAGACAGAAACGGGGGGAGGGGUGGAUUCCGCGUGCCCGUGUGUUUAUGUGUGAAGGAAAGUCCUGACUAUAUUUGGGAUUUGUUGCUCUGUGUGUGUGUGUGUGUAUGUGUUUGCUAUAUUUGGGGUUCGUUGCUGUGUGUGUGUCCGCUGUAUUUGAGGUUUGUUGCUGUGUGUGUGUGUCCGGUAUAUUUGGGGUUUGUUGCCGUGUGUGUGUGUGUGUGUGUGUGUGUGUGUGUGUGUGUGUGUGUAAGAGAGGAAGAGGGAGGAGGAGACAGAAAGUGGGGGAGGGGUGGAUUCCGCGUGCCCGUGUGUUUAUAUGUGAAGGAAAGCCCUGACUAUAUUUGGGAUUUGUUGCUGUGUGUGUUUCUGGUUUAUUUGGGGUUCGUUGCCGUGUGUGUGUGUCCGCUAUAUUUGAGGUUUGUUGCUGUGUGUCUGUGUGUGGCUAUAUUUGGGGUUCGUUGCUGUGAGUGUCUACUAUAUUUGGGGUUUGUUGUUCUGUGUGUGUCCGCUAUAUUUGGGGUUCAUUGCUGUGUGUGUGUGUCUGCUAUAUUUGAGGUUUGUUGCUGUGUGUGUGUCUCCGCUAUAUUUGGGGUUCAUUGCUGUGUGUUUGUGUGUCUGCUGUAUUUGGGGUUCGUUGCUGUGUGUGUGUCCGCUGUAUUUGGGGUUUGUUGCUCUGUGUGUGUGUGUGUGUGUGUGUCUCCCCGUGAUAGAGGGGUGAGGGAGGGAAUGGUAGGAAAGCAGAGAGAAGGAGCCAUGGCUCUCCAGGCGUGUGAAUUUGCAGGUCCAGGAGAGACACUGUCUCCACGUGUAGGUUUUGUGAGGGCAAGGGAAAGAGGAAGGAACAGAAGACAGCCUGCCUGUGUGUGUGUGUGAUGUCUGAUCUCCAAGUUUGGGUCCUGUUGUGCAUGCGUGUUAAUGUGGUAGAAAGAAACGUGGUGUCCCUGUUGUAAACAAGUUGAGAAAAAAUCCUGGGGUUUUGUGGUAUAGUUUGUGUGUGUUGUAUAUGCCCACACAAAAGAGGGACAUGGCUGUGAUUUGACUUUGUGUGUAACCCAGUUUGCAAGAGACAUCGAGAUAAAAACAUUGUGUGUGUGGUGACACUGUGGUCUUUCUGUGUGACUGUUGUGGGACUUUUGUGAUCACCUAUAUUUGGGUUGGGCUGAGAAAGAGAAACUACUGUGUAGGGGGCAUAAUGUCUGUUCAGGACAAAGACAUCCUGGCAGCACUGGGAUUUGGGCUUUGAAGGAUGUCUAAGAGUUCGUUAGGCCAGACAGAAUGUUCAUGAGGCCAGAGGGAAAGACCCGGGGAAUCCUGCCUAUCAGCCAACGGGGGUGAGGAGGCUGUAGUGGUGGGUGACCAGGGUGAAUUUGGAAACAGAACCUAUGGGCAGCAAGGAAGAGGAGGAGCAACUGACUGCAACCCCUGCCCAGGUGCUGACGCUGACCCAGAGUGGCCCUGGAUGUGUCUAGGCACACAGAGUCAUUCUAAAGCGGACCAUCUGCUCCUGGGCAGUUUGUUUGGGAACCUGGAGGGUGGGGAGGGGCUCUGUGGAAAUAACUCUAUGUUGCUCCCUCCUUCCAGCAGCAUUCCAAAUUCUUCAGUGUGGAGGACUCAGGGAGGUCGAAAAGCUCCUUGAGUACAGCAGUUGGGAGCAUGGUGAAGAGGGGAGGGUCUGGCCGUGUCCGAAAGGUGACCGGACCUGAAGGUCCAGAGCCCCCCUCCAUCAUGGGGUACUUAAACUAUCAGCUGCCCUGGCCUGGUGUCCGAUUGCUGACUAUUCCUCAAGUGUCUUACUGAGAAUCAUAGCCUGAUGCCUGCAGAGACAUUGAAGAUCCAGGGACACACAAAAAUGAAACCCGGUUAUCCUGGCACUCCACUUGCCAGCAAUGUGAUUAUGGGGGAUUCUCUUCUCUCUGAGCUCCCGUUUUUGCUCUGUAAAAUGGGGUUCAUAAUUCUCGCCCACCUCACUGUACUGCUGUAAAGAUUUAAGGAGUUAAUGUACCUCGUGGGCCUUUUGUAGCUUAACAAACCGCUAGAAAGCCUUUAAGCAUUGCUCCAUUUACAAAAAGUUCAAAAAAUAAGCAAAAUUAAACCUGUGCUGUCAGAAGUUAGGUUUGUGUUAUCUUUGGGGAGGGAGUGACUGGAAAGGGGCACCAGGGAAGCUUCUGGGUGCUAGGUACAGAGGAGGGGGUAGUUCAAUUGUGAAAAAUUGAGCAGUCUCCUUAGGAUCUAUGUGCUUUUCUGUCUCUGUUACUCUCCAACAAGAAGUUUCCAAAAGACAAAAGGGCCAGGUGCAGUGGCUCAUACCUGUAAUCCCAGCACUUUGAGAGGCCGAGGCAGGCGGAUCACCUGAGGUCAGGAGUUCAAGACCAGUGUGGCCAACAUGGCUGCUCCAGAAAACGCAGUCCCUGGUCUUACGCUGCUCAAAGGGAAGCAAGUGAGGUUUGCUGCCAACACUGACCCUUACCUCCAACUCCUCCAGGAUCCUCAGAGAUCACCUCAUCCAAACAGCUUUCUGGGAACGGCCAGCCAUGACAAAUGCUAAGCAUUUAUGAUGUGCCAGACACUGUGGCAGGUGCUUUGCAGCAUUAUAUGAGUGAUUCUGACAAUUCUAUAUGAACUGAGCUGAAAUAUUGUCUAGGGCACCCGGGGAAAUCACCAGACUCUCCAAGGAACAGUAACCAGCCUGUCUAAGAAGAUACAGUCACGAAAAUGGCAGAAGAAGCUCUGAAGAGGCUGGCAGGGGAGGGGACUCCGUGCUCACAGGCAGGGUGCAGGCAGGCAGAGCUUGUCAGGCCUAAUGAGGCUCUUCCUGACUCACCCAGCCCUGCAAUGAGGUAGCCAGGACUCCUCCCCCUGCCCUGGGCCCCUGGUGAAAGACUGGAGAUCAGGCUAUUCCCCCUGACCCCCCUCUGUGUCUCCUUGGGCCACCAAUUACUCUGAUUCAACUGGGCAGUUGAGUUUCUCUGAAGGACAGAGACCCAUGAAGGCCAGCACUCACUGCUAUUUGUCGAGUCUGUUCCGGGUGCCAUACUGCAAACUUCACUUGAUUUAAAUACAAGAGCAAUGGAAUAUA
Long non-coding RNA from Pongo pygmaeus (Bornean orangutan), 3481 nucleotides. RefSeq lists it as uncharacterized. NCBI's taxonomy places the organism in Eukaryota, Metazoa, Chordata, Mammalia, Primates, Hominidae. The transcript is spliced from 3 exons. The record is from RefSeq and is a predicted model, not a curated record.